RNAcentral lists this ribosomal RNA (695 nucleotides) under uncultured bacterium. Its description in RNAcentral is "bacterial SSU rRNA". It matches the Rfam family "Bacterial small subunit ribosomal RNA", at positions 94 to 774 of the family's 1533-position model. The record is from RNAcentral.
AGCGGCGGAUGGGUGAGUAACACGUGGGGAACCUGCCCCUAAGUCAGGGAUACCAUUUGGAAACAGGUGCUAAUACCGGAUAAUAAAGCAGAUCGCAUGAUCAGCUUUUGAAAGGCGGCGUAAGCUGUCGCUAAGGGAUGGCCCCGCGGUGCAUUAGCUAGUUGGUAAGGUAACGGCUUACCAAGGCGACGAUGCAUAGCCGAGUUGAGAGACUGAUCGGCCACAUUGGGACUGAGACACGGCCCAAACUCCUACGGGAGGCAGCAGUAGGGAAUCUUCCACAAUGGACGCAAGUCUGAUGGAGCAACGCCGCGUGAGUGGAGAAGGUUCUCGGAUCGUAAAGCUCUGUUGUUGGUGAAGAAGGAUAGAGGUAGUAACUGGCCUUUAUUUGACGGUAAUCAACCAGAAAGUCACGGCUAACUACGUGCCAGCAGCCGCGGUAAUACGUAGGUGGCAAGCGUUGUCCGGAUUUAUUGGGCGUAAAGCGAGCGCAGGCGGAAAAAUAAGUCUAAUGUGAAAGCCCUCGGCUUAACCGAGGAACUGCAUCGGAAACUGUUUUUCUUGAGUGCAGAAGAGGAGAGUGGAAACUCCAUGUGUAGCGGUGGAAUGCGUAGAUAUAUGGGAAGAACACCAGUGGCGAAGCGGCUCUCUGGUCUGCAACUGACGCUGAGGCUCGAAAGCAUGGGUAGCGAACA